This is a long non-coding RNA of Panicum virgatum (switchgrass), 448 nucleotides long. RefSeq lists it as uncharacterized. NCBI's taxonomy places the organism in Eukaryota, Viridiplantae, Streptophyta, Magnoliopsida, Poales, Poaceae. The record is from RefSeq and is a predicted model, not a curated record. The transcript is spliced from 3 exons.
CCGAGAAGUGGAGGCCCGGUAAAGUAAACGGGCCACCAUUUGGUUUAGCGCCAAUAGUUAACUUUCAGCUCUUAAUUUAUGCGCCUCCUCAGCGACGGCAAGGGCCGCGUGCUCAGCGAGGAGGAGCGCGCCAAGGAGAGCGUCUACAUCCAGAAGAUGGAGAAGGAGCGGCUGGAGAAGCUCAAGAAGAAGCUCGAGCAGGAGAAGGCCGGCGCCGACGAGACCAAGCCCGCCGACUCCGACAAGAAGACAGAAGGAUCUAACUAAAAUUGGCAUGGUGCUGUUUGAAGGCGUGCCUCGGAUGGAUGGCUUUGUUUGUACAUGUCCAUCGUUGAAAGAAAAUAAGAUUAUGUAAAAUGUUAACUGCAUCAGUGUUUCCAGAUCAUAUAGUAUCGAUGCUGAACCUUAUGUCACUGUGCUUUAUAUAUGUUUGCUUUCUUCCGGUAAA